This 247-nucleotide ribosomal RNA is filed under the name uncultured bacterium. RNAcentral describes it as "partial 16S ribosomal RNA". It matches the Rfam family "Bacterial small subunit ribosomal RNA", at positions 524 to 770 of the family's 1533-position model. The record is from RNAcentral.
UACGUAGGGUGCAAGCGUUAAUCGGAAUUACUGGGCGUAAAGCGUGCGCAGGCGGUUAUAUAAGACAGUUGUGAAAUCCCCGGGCUCAACCUGGGAACUGCAUCUGUGACUGUAUAGCUAGAGUACGGUAGAGGGGGAUGGAAUUCCGCGUGUAGCAGUGAAAUGCGUAGAUAUGCGGAGGAACACCGAUGGCGAAGGCAAUCCCCUGGACCUGUACUGACGCUCAUGCACGAAAGCGUGGGGAGCA